RNAcentral lists this long non-coding RNA (371 nucleotides) under Monodelphis domestica (gray short-tailed opossum). RNAcentral's name for it is "lncRNA (ENSMODG00000033313.2)". Lineage: Eukaryota; Metazoa; Chordata; Mammalia; Didelphimorphia; Didelphidae. The record is from RNAcentral.
CUGGAUAAAUCCACCUGGUUCUGGUCACGCUAUGAAGAUAAAGUGAGAGGUCUGAAGUGUUUUGGCAAACCUUAAAAAGCCCCUGUGUGGCAGCCUGAUGCCCUGGAAAAAAAUCCAACUUCAGAGUUGGGAAGUCAAAGAUUCAAAUCUCACCUCUGACACAUACCGAUGCAUGACCUUGGACUAGUCAAAAGACAAAGACCCAGGAAGCAUCCCAUGGAAUGGAGACACCUGGAAGCCCCAGUAACAAAAUUUCUGCCUUCUCCCUUGAAGCUUCUUUGGCCCUGGAAGCCAAGGCUAGGACUAGUGGGAAGUAAAAUGGUAAUAACGAUGAAUCAUGCUUAUAAUAAACUUUUAUUUCAUAAGUCCUA